CAAACGAAAAUAUGUCUCUCACACAACAGAGGUUAUCGGCAAAUGAUGCGUACCAUUUAGAAAAGAAUUUAUGUAUUCAGCCAGGUUUGUGGUCAUAUGACCAUAUCGUAGGCUGCCAUCGUAUGCUUGUGUCCAUAGUUCGAAAGGUAUGUUACAGAGAUAAUCUGCGCAUUUAUCAUUAACUGAACGCAAAAUCCCCA
Molecule: long non-coding RNA, 200 nt
Filed under: Gossypium barbadense (sea-island cotton)
Lineage: Eukaryota; Viridiplantae; Streptophyta; Magnoliopsida; Malvales; Malvaceae
Description: long non-coding RNA (GBAR_LNC002530)
Source: RNAcentral